Molecule: ribosomal RNA, 447 nt
Filed under: uncultured bacterium
Lineage: Bacteria
Description: partial 16S ribosomal RNA
Rfam family: Bacterial small subunit ribosomal RNA
Source: RNAcentral
UGUCCAGACUCCUACGGGAGGCAGCAGUGGGGGAUAUUGCACAAUGGGGGGAACCCUGAUGCAGCGACGCCGCGUGGGUGAAGGAGCGUUUCGGCGCGUAAAGCCCUAUCGGCAGGGAAGGAGGAGGACGGUACCUGACUAAGAAGCCCCGGCUAACUACGUGCCAGCAGCCGCGGGAAUACGUAGGGAGCAAGCGUUGUCCGGAAUUACUGGGUGUAAAGGGAGCGUAGGCGGGGAUGCAAGUUGGGUGUCAAAACUACCGGCUCAACCGAUAGUCGCACUCAAAACUGCAGCUCUUGAGUGAAGUAGAGGCAGGCGGAAUUCCUAGUGUAGCGGUGAAAUGCGUAGAUAUCAGGAGGAACACCGGUGGCGAAGGCGGCCUGCUGGACUGCAACUGACGUUGAGGCCCGAAAGCGUGGGGAGCAAACAGGAUUAGAUACCCCUGUA